CUGGCUUGUGCAGCAGAAUAGCCAGGUGGAAGAGGAAGUGUAGCACCUAGCAAAUUUCUGCCUCUGAAAUAGGCUUCUUCCACUACCAGUCCUUCCACUUCGAUCCCUGUGGGCUUGGGUUUGAAAUAUUGGGAAACGGCACAAGGGCCGUCAUAUUUGAUGCAGCAAGGGAGGUGAUGGAGAUGACCAGUGAGAUUUGGGAGUUGCUCUGAUGAUGCUAAGUUGUGAUUUUUGCUCAGAUUUAUCUUCCCUAUUGUUCCUGCUUCCCAAUGUCCCUCUCCUUCCAUUCUCUUCUUCCCAAUUUUGAUUCUGUCAAAAACCAGUGAGAUGAUAACCACAGCUUACACAGCUUUGAGGCGUGAAAUCAAUCGGAACGAGAGCAAUCGGAGAAGGAGACUUCUUUACUACAGAAGACACAGCAACAAAAAAUAACACUCACGAGCAGACUGAAGUUGGAGCAGUAAUGAAAGCUCGUGAAGGCGAUUAGAGGCCCGGAACUGGAAGAUGAG
RNAcentral lists this unclassified non-coding RNA (509 nucleotides) under Hevea brasiliensis (rubber tree). Lineage: Eukaryota; Viridiplantae; Streptophyta; Magnoliopsida; Malpighiales; Euphorbiaceae. The record is from RNAcentral.